RNAcentral lists this ribosomal RNA (424 nucleotides) under uncultured bacterium. Its description in RNAcentral is "bacterial SSU rRNA". It matches the Rfam family "Bacterial small subunit ribosomal RNA", at positions 356 to 773 of the family's 1533-position model. The record is from RNAcentral.
AGGGAAUCUUCCACAAUGGACGAAAGUCUGAUGGAGCAACGCCGCGUGAGUGAUGAAGGUUUUCGGAUCGUAAAGCUCUGUUGCCAGGGAAGAACGCUCAGGAGAGUAACUGCUCCUGAGGUGACGGUACCUGAGAAGAAAGCCCCGGCUAACUACGUGCCAGCAGCCGCGGUAAUACGUAGGGGGCAAGCGUUGUCCGGAAUUAUUGGGCGUAAAGCGCGCGCAGGCGGUUCAUUAAGUCUGGUGUUUAAGGCAAUGGCUCAACCAUUGUUCGCACCGGAAACUGGUGAACUUGAGUGUAGGAGAGGAAAGUGGAAUUCCACGUGUAGCGGUGAAAUGCGUAGAGAUGUGGAGGAACACCAGUGGCGAAGGCGACUUUCUGGCCUAUAACUGACGCUGAGGCGCGAAAGCGUGGGGAGCAAAC